GUGGGGAAUAUUCCGCAAUGGACGAAAGUCUGACGGAGCAACGCCGCGUGAGUGAUGAAGGUUUUCGGACUGUAAAGCUCUGUUGUUUAGGACGAAAGUGCCUGUUGCAAAUAGUUACAGGUAUUGACGGUACUGAACGAGGAAGCCACGGCUAACUACGUGCCAGCAGCCGCGGUAAUACGUAGGUGGCAAGCGUUGUCCGGAAUUAUUGGGCGUAAAGAGCAUGUAGGCGGGAAUCUAAGUCUGUUGUGAAAAUGCGGGGCUCAACCCCGUAUUGCGAUGGAAACUGGGUUGCUUGAGUGCAGGAGAGGAAAGGGGAAUUCCCAGUGUAGCGGUGAAAUGCGUAGAUAUUGGGAGGAACACCAGUGGCGAAGGCGCCUUUCUGGACUGUGUCUGACGCUGAGAUGCGAAAGCCAGGGUAGCGAACGGGAUUAGAAACCCUAGUAGUCC
Molecule: ribosomal RNA, 450 nt
Filed under: uncultured bacterium
Lineage: Bacteria
Description: partial 16S ribosomal RNA
Rfam family: Bacterial small subunit ribosomal RNA
Source: RNAcentral